This is a non-coding RNA of Acanthoscelides obtectus, 73 nucleotides long. The record is from the annotation of a GenBank genome assembly. NCBI's taxonomy places the organism in Eukaryota, Metazoa, Arthropoda, Insecta, Coleoptera, Chrysomelidae.
UCCGAUAUGGCCUAGUGGCUAGGAUACCUGGCUUUCACAACAGGAGGCUCUGGUUCGAUUCUCGGUAUCGGAA